UAAGUAGGGAUAUAGAUCCUAUGCUGACUGAGUUCCUCAACACUGUUAUGGAUGCUAACAAGGUUCUGACCCUUGCAGGCAAUGGAUGUGUGCCUGUGACUCUGUCAGUGUGGCUGCUGUUUGUGGUGCACAUUUAGGAGCUGCUGCCCCAGCUACAAUAUCCAGAGCUGAUGUUCAUCACCUGAAACCCCAGGACCUGGAGUAGAACCUGAAAAAUUGAGACAUGUACAAAGAAGUGGACUCACCUCAUUGUCUGCAGCUCUUCCUUCUGUCCACUGCACUUCAGCCAAGUUUCUCUUUUUAAAUGCUCCUCUACCAAGUCCCUCUGCCAAUCAUAGCAGGGAUGUUUGGAAAAAAGCUGGAGAAAGAACAUGGUCAUACCUAUGUUCCAGUAAAAGAAUGAGAAGCUCUUCCAUUUUAUUGGUGAUUUGAAUAUGCCUGAAGUGGGGAGACAUGGAAUGGUUUGGCCUCAUGCAUUGAUUUAGCAGCAUAUUGAUUAUGGACACUGGUGAGCAUUUGCUUCUUACUUAAUGUUAUGACAUAAUUUUUUCCUGUGGUCCAUGUUGGCAACUCUAAA
RNAcentral lists this long non-coding RNA (577 nucleotides) under Ficedula albicollis (Collared flycatcher). Its description in RNAcentral is "lncRNA (ENSFALG00000024863.1)". Lineage: Eukaryota; Metazoa; Chordata; Aves; Passeriformes; Muscicapidae. The record is from RNAcentral.